UACGUAGGUGGCAAGCGUUAUCCGGAAUUAUUGGGCGUAAAGAGUGAGCAGGCGGCAGGUUAAGUUUGAGGUUAAAGCGUGGGGCUCAACCCCAUAAAGCCUUGAAAACUGAUCAGCUAGAGUACGAGAGAUGUGAAGGGAACUCCAUGUGUAGCGGUGAAAUGCGUAGAUAUAUGGAAGAACACCAGUGGCGAAGGCGCUUCACAAGCUCGAAACUGACGCUCAGUCACGAAAGCGUGGGUAGCAAAUAGG
RNAcentral lists this ribosomal RNA (252 nucleotides) under uncultured bacterium. Its description in RNAcentral is "partial 16S ribosomal RNA". It matches the Rfam family "Bacterial small subunit ribosomal RNA", at positions 524 to 776 of the family's 1533-position model. The record is from RNAcentral.